UGGAGUUCAGCAAAAGACAGCAGCAGGUUC
RNAcentral lists this non-coding RNA (30 nucleotides) under Homo sapiens (human). Lineage: Eukaryota; Metazoa; Chordata; Mammalia; Primates; Hominidae. The record is from RNAcentral.